This 417-nucleotide ribosomal RNA is filed under the name uncultured bacterium. Its description in RNAcentral is "partial 16S ribosomal RNA". It matches the Rfam family "Bacterial small subunit ribosomal RNA", at positions 360 to 774 of the family's 1533-position model. The record is from RNAcentral.
AAUAUUGGUCAAUGGCGGCAAUUCUGAACAAGACACGCCGCGUGAAGGCUGACUGCUCUACGGGGUGGAAACUUCUAUUUUAAGGGAAUAAAGUGAGCCACGUGUGGGUUUGUGCAUGUACCUUACGAAUAAGGAUCGGCUAACGCCGUGCCAGCAGCCGCGGUAAUACGGAGGAUCCGAGCGUUAUGCGGAUUUAUUGGGUUUAAAGGGUGCGCAGGCGGAAUAUUAAGACGGCGGUGAAAGUUUUCAGCUUAACUGUAAAAUUGCCGUUGAAACUGGUUUUCUUGCGUGUAUAUGAAGUAGGCGGAAUUUGUAGUGUAGCGGUGAAAUGCAUAGAUAUUACAAGGAACUCCGAUUGCGAAGGCAGCUUACUAAAAUACAACUGACGCUCAGGCACGAAGGCGUGGGUAUCAAACA